UACAGAGGGUGCGAGCGUUAAUCGGAAUUACUGGGCGUAAAGCGCGCGUAGGCGGUCUUGUAAGUCGGGUGUGAAAGCCCCGGGCUCAACCUGGGAACUGCAUUCGAGACUGCAAGACUGGAGUAUGGGAGAGGGCAGCGGAAUUUCCGGUGUAGCGGUGAAAUGCGUAGAUAUCGGAAGGAACAUCAGUGGCGAAAGCGGCUGCCUGGCCCAAUACUGACGCUCAUGUGCGAAAGCGUGGGGAGCAAACAGG
RNAcentral lists this ribosomal RNA (253 nucleotides) under uncultured bacterium. RNAcentral's name for it is "partial 16S ribosomal RNA". It matches the Rfam family "Bacterial small subunit ribosomal RNA", at positions 524 to 776 of the family's 1533-position model. The record is from RNAcentral.